Long non-coding RNA from Eucalyptus grandis, 837 nucleotides. RefSeq lists it as uncharacterized. Lineage: Eukaryota; Viridiplantae; Streptophyta; Magnoliopsida; Myrtales; Myrtaceae. The record is from RefSeq and is a predicted model, not a curated record. The transcript is spliced from 3 exons.
AUGCUAACCAAGGGUACAACCCUUGUCCAGUGUAUCAAAACAAAGAAGGUCCAAAAGAGGUUGGGAGGGGAAACAACCCAGUUCUGGGGAGGCUUCGGCGCCUAUGGGCUUUAGCGGCCUAGUCUGCAACGUGAUUGGCCUCUCUCCUACAAUGCACGAUUCAGAGGUUAGGGAAACAGGGGAGCAACGCCGCACACUCUGAGAACAGCGCUCGGAUCUCCUACGGUGUAGAGCAAGGGUGAUGCACGGCUUCUACGAGUACCAGAGCCGAAGAGGCUGUGAUACUGCUGGUGAAUUCAUCAACAAGCUAGCCGGAGUGGUCACGAUAGACAGACGCCACGGAACCCUCAUUUGUUGCAGUGGGAAAGGCUCCAUCGAUGUUGAUCUUCAAAGUGCCGGGCUUCAGUGGGCACCACACCCGAUCUGGAUUUGAGGUGCGCAGUUGAGAUCCCGAUAGUACUCCAUUACAGCAACGAGCAACAUGGGCGUUCGCAGAAGCCACCGCAACCACCUGUGCUGGAUCAGGGAGAAUUCGGCGGAAAACAAAGUUAUUUCUGGUUUUCCAGAUCUGCCACAAGAUAUGCGCAAGAGUCUCCAGAUCAGAAAUGCCACAUGGGACCCAAUAUGCGUAAAAUUGCCUCGUGCUGGACCCUGCACAGUCUACGACGGGCCUCACGUCUGACUUUCUCAAAGACUGCGAACAAGGUUUCGACAUUCUUUUUCGUUUCCCUCUCACAUCUGGUCCAUUUAUUCUGUCUCUAUUUUCUUUCUCUCUUUUUUCCUUUGUCCUCUUCUUGAGAUAUCUAAAUCUAAACCUCAAAACAAAAAUUCCAUGGA